GCCCAGAUGCAGCUUGGAUGCAGAGCUUUGCCUGUAGUAGAUCUUCAUAGAUUUUAGCUGAUUCGUGCCAAACUUCGCUCUACACAUAAAUAAUAUCGAUUGAGAAGUCUUUUGGCUAUUUAUUUGUUUCGAAGACUUAAUUGCAUAUUUCAUUAAAGAAUAUCUCGCCACUCCUUGACGAGUAGCUGUCAAAUACUGCCAUUUUUUGACGUCACGUGACCGGCCCG
Paramuricea clavata is the source of this 227-nucleotide non-coding RNA. The record is from the annotation of a GenBank genome assembly. Lineage: Eukaryota; Metazoa; Cnidaria; Anthozoa; Malacalcyonacea; Plexauridae.